GGGCUUUUUUGAGAAAUAUUUCCUUCUCUUGCUCUCCAUUUUCUCCCUUUUUUAAUCUUUUCUUUUUGGAGUGGUUUGGGUUGGGGGUGCAGAGGACGUGACCUUGCUGGUGGAAGUGGACGCACUGUUGAUACAUGUAUAUAUUCAACCUGAAUGUGACAUUAUGAGCCGUUUGGACAACAUUAAAGUUGAUGUUGAAAUUGGAAAAACGCUUGUGGAUGCUGAAAUCUGAGUAGUUGUAGUUUUUGAAAAGAUUUUUUUGGAAAUGGAAGACUUGUAAGUGGACAUCUUAGAUUUGAAGAACUUCGCUUGAAAUACACUUUCAACCACAACUUUUCAAACUUGAACUAGAAAAUUUCUUUUUCCCAAAUAAAAAAUUCAAAUAAACACCAAAUUCAAAAAUAUUAUUUGCAAGUGAAUUUAAGAAGUCCACAAACAACAACAACAAACCCAUUUUGAUUCCAACAAGUGGGGUCUGGGGAGGAUAGUCUAUAUGUAGACCUUACAACAACAACAACAACAACUACCCAAUAUAGUCCCACAAAGUGGGGUCUGGGGAGGGUAAUAUGUAGACGAGCCUUACCCCUACCCGAAAGGGAAGAGAGGCUGUUUCCAGUCGACCCUCGGCUCAGUGAAGGAAGAAAGAAGCACACUAAAUAUAUAUGAUAAAGUUGAAUGCUAAUUUAAUGAUACCUAAUAAGCCUUGACCUUGACACCAAACUAAAUUGGCUGUAGCACUACCAUCAAUCUAUAAGACAUGAUUGAAUUCGAGAACAUGCAAACUGCCAGCUUAAUGGAAUCUGACAAACCGCAGUGUUGACUAGGCGAUGAUUUGGCAGUGACAUUGGCAAUAGGAAAACGUAGACCUGAUAUGUCAAUUAAUAUAUACUAUUAACUCGACAGGUUAGUUGAUGUAGAGUGAUAACUAGACAAAUAUGGAAUGCCGGUUUGAAACCUAAACUGGACUGAUACGUCAAACUGAGGCAGUAGAAACACGAGCCGCAAGCGCGGAGUUUGGAGACGAGAUUUUCACUGUUGUAUUCAUCUUGACAAGAAGAACCAGAAGUGAGUGGAUAUACGUAGACCUUACCCCUACCUAAUUCUGGUAGAGAGGUUGUCUCCAAUAG
RNAcentral lists this long non-coding RNA (1127 nucleotides) under Nicotiana benthamiana. RNAcentral describes it as "long non-coding RNA (NBEN_LNC023112)". The record is from RNAcentral. Lineage: Eukaryota; Viridiplantae; Streptophyta; Magnoliopsida; Solanales; Solanaceae.